RNAcentral lists this ribosomal RNA (862 nucleotides) under uncultured archaeon. RNAcentral describes it as "bacterial SSU rRNA". It matches the Rfam family "Archaeal small subunit ribosomal RNA", at positions 1 to 869 of the family's 1478-position model. The record is from RNAcentral.
UUCCGGUUGAUCCUGCCGGACCUGACUGCUAUCGGAUUGAUACUAAGCCAUGCGAGUCAUUGUAGCAAUACAAGGCAGACGGCUCAGUAACGCGUAGUCAACCUACCCUAUGGACGGGAAUAAUCUCGGGAAACUGAGAAUAAUGCCCGAUAGAACAUUAUGCCUGGAAUGGUUUAUGUUCCAAAUGAUUUAUCGCCGUAGGAUGGGACUGCGGCCUAUCAGUUUGUUGGUGAGGUAAUGGCCCACCAAGACUAUUACAGGUACGGGCUCUGAGAGGAGUAGCCCGGAGAUGGGUACUGAGACACGGACCCAGGCCCUAUGGGGCGCAGCAGGCGAGAAAACUUUGCAAUGUGCGAAAGCACGACAAGGUUAAUCCGAGUGAUUCGUGCUAAACGAAUCUUUUGUUAGUCCUAGAAACACUAACGAAUAAGGGGUGGGCAAGUUCUGGUGUCAGCCGCCGCGGUAAAACCAGCACCUCAAGUGGUCAGGAUGAUUAUUGGGCCUAAAGCAUCCGUAGCCGGCUCUGUAAGUUUUCGGUUAAAUCUGUACGCUCAACGUACAGGCUGCCGGGAAUACUGCAGAGCUAGGGAGUGGGAGAGGUAGACGGUACUCGGUAGGAAGGGGUAAAAUCCUUUGAUCUAUUGAUGACCACCUGUGGCGAAGGCGGUCUACCAGAACACGUCCGACGGUGAGGGAUGAAAGCUGGGGGAGCAAACCGGAUUAGAUACCCGGGUAGUCCCAGCUGUAAACUAUGCAAACUCAGUGAUGCAUUGGCUUGUGGCCAAUGCAGUGCUGCAGGGAAGCCGUUAAGUUUGCCGCCUGGGGAAGUACGUACGCAAGUAUGAAACUUAAAGGAAUUGGC